RNAcentral lists this unclassified non-coding RNA (288 nucleotides) under plant metagenome. RNAcentral's name for it is "partial contains small subunit ribosomal RNA, internal transcribed spacer 1, and 5.8S ribosomal RNA". The stretch from base 1 to 53 matches the Rfam family "Eukaryotic small subunit ribosomal RNA", at positions 1778 to 1831 of the family's 1831-position model. The record is from RNAcentral.
GGAAGUAAAAGCGUAACAAGGUUUCCGUAGGUGAACCUGCGGAAGGAUCAUUAUCGUACAAAAUAUGAGGGGCAUGCGAGGGCUGUCGCUGACCCAAAAGUCGUGCACGCCCGAGUGUGUCCUCUUGCAUAAUAAUCCAUCUCACCCUUUGUGCAUCACCGCGUGGGCACCCUUCGGGAUCAUCUCGGAGGGGGGCUCGCGUUUUCACACAAACCCCCCUUUUAAAAGUGUAGAAUGACCACAUUUAUGCAAUCAAUACAACUUUCAACAACGGAUCUCUUGGCUCUC